RNAcentral lists this ribosomal RNA (506 nucleotides) under uncultured bacterium. RNAcentral describes it as "partial 16S ribosomal RNA". It matches the Rfam family "Bacterial small subunit ribosomal RNA", at positions 29 to 523 of the family's 1533-position model. The record is from RNAcentral.
AGUGAACGCUGGCGGUAGGCCUAACACACGCAAGUCGAACGGCAGCACAGGAGAGCUUGCUCUCUGGGUGGCGAGUGGCGGACGGGUGAGGAAUACAUCGGAAUCUACUCUGUCGUGGGGGAUAACGUAGGGAAACUUACGCUAAUACCGCAUACGACCUACGGGUGAAAGCAGGGGACCUUCGGGCCUUGCGCGAUUGAAUGAGCCGAUGUCGGAUUAGCUAGUUGGCGGGGUAAAGGCCCACCAAGGCGACGAUCCGUAGCUGGUCUGAGAGGAUGAUCAGCCAAACUGGAACUGAGACACGGUCCAGACUCCUACGGGAGGCAGCAGUGGGGAAUAUUGGACAAUGGGCGCAAGCCUGAUCCAGCCAUACCGCGUGGGUGAAGAAUGCCUUCGGGUUGUAAAGCCCUUUUGUUGGGAAAGAAAUCCAGCUGGCUAAUACCCGGUUGGGAUGACGGUACCCAAAGAAUAAGCACCGGCUAACUUCGUGCCAGCCGCCGCUGUAA